UCUAGUGUCAACCUCAGAGCUGCUGUAGGACAUUCAGCCAUCCCCAGCCCUGGGGAGGGGACAUUUUCUCUGAAGGUCGGCUGUUGAGGGGAAGCCAGCCCUUGGGUGCUGAGGACAGGGCGUCUGCCUUGGUGCCGCAGCUGCAGCCUCUGCCCUAUGGGGCUCAGUCAGCAUACCUUCUGUGGCCUCCAGGGAGGCAGAGGGAUUCCUCACACACCCCGGAGAGGUAGCUGUUCUGUCUUGUU
This 245-nucleotide long non-coding RNA is filed under the name Pan troglodytes (chimpanzee). Its description in RNAcentral is "long non-coding RNA NONPTRT000849". The record is from RNAcentral. Lineage: Eukaryota; Metazoa; Chordata; Mammalia; Primates; Hominidae.